This 253-nucleotide ribosomal RNA is filed under the name uncultured bacterium. Its description in RNAcentral is "partial 16S ribosomal RNA". It matches the Rfam family "Bacterial small subunit ribosomal RNA", at positions 524 to 776 of the family's 1533-position model. The record is from RNAcentral.
UACGAAGGUGGCAAGCGUUGUUCGGAUUUACUGGGCGUAAAGGGUGCGCAGGCGGUUCCGCAAGUCAGGCGUGAAAUCCCCGGGCUUAACCUGGGAAUGGCGCUUGAAACUACGGGACUGGAGUAUGGCAGAGGGAGGUGGAAUUCCACGUGUAGCGGUGAAAUGCGUAGAGAUGUGGAGGAACACCGAUGGCGAAGGCAGCCUCCUGGGCCAAUACUGACGCUCAUGCACGAAAGCGUGGGGAGCAAACAGG